GACGAACGCUGGCGGCGUGCUUAACACAUGCAAGUCGAACGGAGAGGCCGUGCUUGCUUUGUGUGCUCGUGUGGAAAGCGGGUGUAACACGCGAGUGUAACCUGCUCUUGACUGGGAUAUGCGUUGGAAACAAUGGGGAUUAUAGCAGAUGAGCUGUCCUGCCAUGUUGAUCAGGUGGAAAGAUUUGGCGGUUAGGGAUGGACUCGCGGCCUAUCAGCUUGUUGGUGAGGUAAUGGCUCACCAAGGCUAUGACGGGUAGCCGGCCUGAGAGGGUGACCGGCCACAUUGGGACUGAGAUACGGCCCAGACUCCUACGGGAGGCAGCAGUGGGGAAUAUUGCACAAUGGGCGGAAGCCUGAUGCAGCAACGCCGCGUGAGGGAUGACGGCCUUCGGGUUGUAAACCGCUUUUGGUAGUGAAGAAGCGUGAGUGACGGUAAUGGGUAAAGAAGCACCGGCUAACUACGUG
RNAcentral lists this ribosomal RNA (467 nucleotides) under uncultured bacterium. Its description in RNAcentral is "partial 16S ribosomal RNA". It matches the Rfam family "Bacterial small subunit ribosomal RNA", at positions 28 to 507 of the family's 1533-position model. The record is from RNAcentral.